CACUGUUGCAAGGAUCGCCUCACUGUUGCAAGGAUCACCUCACUGUUGCAAGGAUCACCUCACUGUUGCAAGGAUCACCUCACUGUUGCGAGGAUCACCUCAUUGUUCACCUCUCCUUCUCGGGGCCUUUCCACGUUGAUUCAGCAUUUCAGGGGCUCGUGUCAUCCAAAGGCAAUUCGGCAACCCUGAUUGUUCCUACGUGCUGCCAUGUCAGGCGGCAUGCAUUUCGAGUUUCAGAUUUACUACGACAAAUGCGGCACCAAACCUGACAUGGGCGGUAAGUUCUACAAGAACACCAACAUCAUCCAGUACGAAGUAGAUCUCAUCGAGGUAAUAAUUAAUUGUGCUGGGCUCGGAUUUUCAGAAAUAGUUUUUCAUUUUUCUGCUGAAAAAGUGCAGUACAUGAGAUCAAAUAGUUCAAACCGCUGUCUGAUGACAAAAUCAGAUACUUCUCAUGGAGUAUUUAUGCUGCGGAAAUUAUUUUCAGUUUAGUAAUUGUUAUUUGUUUAUUUAAUAGUUAAGUUAUUAAGUGUUACUUAGUUAUUUGUAUAUAUUGAAGAAAAGGUUUGGCCAUUAGAUCAGGGUGAAAAUGAGCAGGGGCAGGAAGGGUACACCAAUAAUGAUGCCUCCUCCUCAUGACUGUCCCAUGAAGAAGAUAGGCUGAGAGUUUUGUGGAAUGACAGGAUGGCAAGAAGAUGCCGAGUUGACUGGAGAGGGGCACUGCAUUCAGGGCAGGUAUUGCUUGCACCAUGCUCCGCCUUGGAUAUGUAAGAUGCCUGUGAAUUGCUGUCAGAUAUCUGAGAAGAGCUUAGCCAGUGCUGUAGAUUGGACAUGGUAGAUCCAUGCUAUGAGAUUUUAGCUUCUACAAAAGAAUGUUACAUUGGAGCUGUGAGAAUUCAAAUCCACCCAAAAUAUUUGACAUAGGAGCUGCCCCAUUCCUGAAAAUAUAAAAUUCUUAUAAAAUAUCAGCCCAUUUUAUUACAUCAUGUGCACUCACAAUGACAUAAUUUCUUUUCAUCAGUUACUUUUUGAGUUUUCUAUUCUUGAGCGUUGUAGAUAAAUGCAUAUAUGUGUCCAGAUUUGGGAUGAGGCGAAACGGUUGCGGUGCGAGUGGUAGGUAUGGCUACGAGAAGAAAGCCAGUAAACCUCCGAAUGUCAUCUCUGAACGUAAUUGCGUUCAAUUUCAGAGAUGAUUUUUUAUUCCUAUAUUUACAUUGGAGGUAAAAGGGUACAAAGGGUAAACUUGUUUUCUAAAGAAAUAAGAAAAUUACCAAGUACGGAGCCGUCUCCGUGGCUCAGUGGGCUAAGGCAUGGUCACGCGCACUCGACUGCAGUCUUGGCAGCGGUUCGAAUCUCGGCGUGCGACUGAUAGUUUCUUCAUCCAGUGUUCAAUAGAGGCGAUAACGUGGACUGCUGGAUGGAGAUUCAGGACAGCAAGGGGCCGAGGGCCGCCUCGUGACUGGAAUAGUUCCGCUCAGGUGACUGGAAUAGUUCCGCUCAGGUGACUGGAAUCGUUCCGCUCA
Long non-coding RNA from Hyalella azteca, 1523 nucleotides. RefSeq lists it as uncharacterized. The transcript has 3 exons. The record is from RefSeq and is a predicted model, not a curated record. Lineage: Eukaryota; Metazoa; Arthropoda; Malacostraca; Amphipoda; Hyalellidae.